Molecule: ribosomal RNA, 425 nt
Filed under: uncultured Methanosaeta sp.
Lineage: Archaea; Methanobacteriati; Methanobacteriota; Methanomicrobia; Methanotrichales; Methanotrichaceae
Description: bacterial SSU rRNA
Rfam family: Archaeal small subunit ribosomal RNA
Source: RNAcentral
CAACGCCGGAAAUCUUACCGGGACCGACAGCAUAUGAAGGCCAGGCUGAAGACUUUGCCGGAUUAGCUGAGAGGUGGUGCAUGGCCGUCGUCAGUUCGUACUGUGAAGCAUCCUGUUAAGUCAGGCAACGAGCGAGACCCACGCCCACAGUUGCCAGCGUACUCUCCGGAGUGACGGGUACACUGUGGGGACCGCCGCUGCUAAAGCGGAGGAAGGAAUGGGCAACGGUAGGUCAGUAUGCCCCGAAUAUCCCGGGCUACACGCGAGCUACAAUGGUUGGUACAAUGGGUAUCUACCCCGAAAGGGGAUGGAAAUCUCCUAAAGCCAAUCUUAGUCCGGAUUGAGGGCUGCAACUCGCCCUCAUGAAGCUGGAAUCCGUAGUAAUCGCGUUUCAACAGAACGCGGUGAAUACGUCCCUGCUCCUU